RNAcentral lists this ribosomal RNA (253 nucleotides) under uncultured bacterium. Its description in RNAcentral is "partial 16S ribosomal RNA". It matches the Rfam family "Bacterial small subunit ribosomal RNA", at positions 524 to 776 of the family's 1533-position model. The record is from RNAcentral.
UACGGGGGGGGCAAGCGUUGUUCGGAAUUACUGGGCGUAAAGGGCUCGUAGGCGGCCGACUAAGUCAGACGUGAAAUCCCCCGGCUUAACCGGGGAACUGCGUCUGAUACUGGACGGCUUGAAUUCGGGAGAGGGAUGCGGAAUUCCAGGUGUAGCGGUGAAAUGCGUAGAUAUCUGGAGGAACACCGGUGGCGAAGGCGGCAUCCUGGACCGACAUUGACGCUGAGGGGCGAAAGCCAGGGGAGCAAACGGG